CCUACGGGCGGCAGCAGUAGGGAAUAUUGCUCAAUGGGGGAAACCCUGAAGCAGCAACGCCGCGUGGAGGAUGAAGGUCUUCGGAUCGUAAACCUCUGUCAGCAGGGAAGAACGGUCACUGUGCUAAUCAGCAGUGAAUUGACGGUACCUGCAAAGGAAGCACCGGCUAACUCCGUGCCAGCAGCCGCGGUAAUACGGAGGGUGCGAGCGUUAAUCGGAAUUACUGGGCGUAAAGCGCUCGUAGGCGGUAUGUCAAGUCAAGGGUGAAAUCCCCGCGCUCAACGUGGGAACUGCCUUUGAAACUGGCAAACUGGAGUGUGUGAGAGGAUAGUGGAAUUCCAGGUGUAGGAGUGAAAUCCGUAGAUAUCUGGAGGAACAUCAGUGGCGAAGGCGACUAUCUGGCACAUAACUGACGCUGAGGAGCGAAAGCGUGGGUAGCAAACAGGAUUAGAUACCCCUGUAGUC
RNAcentral lists this ribosomal RNA (465 nucleotides) under uncultured bacterium. Its description in RNAcentral is "partial 16S ribosomal RNA". It matches the Rfam family "Bacterial small subunit ribosomal RNA", at positions 338 to 795 of the family's 1533-position model. The record is from RNAcentral.